This 433-nucleotide ribosomal RNA is filed under the name uncultured bacterium. RNAcentral's name for it is "partial 16S ribosomal RNA". It matches the Rfam family "Bacterial small subunit ribosomal RNA", at positions 29 to 507 of the family's 1533-position model. The record is from RNAcentral.
AACGAACGCUGGCGGCAUGCCUAACACGUGCAAGUCGAACGAGACCUUCGGGUCUAGUGGCGCACGGGUGCGUAACGCGUGGGAACCUGCCCUUAGGUUCGGAAUAACUCCCCGAAAGGGGUGCUAAUACCGGAUAAUGUCUUCGGACCAAAGAUUUAUCGCCUUUGGAUGGGCCCGCGUUGGAUUAGCUAGUUGGUAGGGUAAAAGCCUACCAAGGCGACGAUCCAUAGCUGGUCUGAGAGGAUGAUCAGCCACACUGGGACUGAGACACGGCUCAGACUCCUACGGGAGGCAGCAGUGGGGAAUAUUGGACAAUGGGCGAAAGCCUGAUCCAGCAAUGCCGCGUGAGUGAUGAAGGCCUUAGGGUUGUAAAGCUCUUUUACCCGGGAUGAUAAUGACAGUACCGGGAGAAUAAGCUCCGGCUAACUCCGUG